GCUUGCUCCUGGGUGACGAGCGGCGGACGGGUGAGUAAUGUCUGGGAAACUGCCUGAUGGAGGGGGAUAACUACUGGAAACGGUAGCUAAUACCGCAUAACGUCGCAAGACCAAAGAGGGGGACCUUCGGGCCUCUUGCCAUCAGAUGUGCCCAGAUGGGAUUAGCUAGUAGGUGGGGUAACGGCUCACCUAGGCGACGAUCCCUAGCUGGUCUGAGAGGAUGACCAGCCACACUGGAACUGAGACACGGUCCAGACUCCUACGGGAGGCAGCAGUGGGGAAUAUUGCACAAUGGGCGCAAGCCUGAUGCAGCCAUGCCGCGUGUAUGAAGAAGGCCUUCGGGUUGUAAAGUACUUUCAGCGGGGAGGAAGGCGAUAAGGUUAAUAACCUUGUCGAUUGACGUUACCCGCAGAAGAAGCACCGGCUAACUCCGUGCCAGCAGCCGCGGUAAUACGGAGGGUGCAAGCGUUAAUCGGAAUUACUGGGCGUAAAGCGCACGCAGGCGGUCUGUCAAGUCGGAUGUGAAAUCCCCGGGCUCAACCUGGGAACUGCAUUCGAAACUGGCAGGCUAGAGUCUUGUAGAGGGGGGUAGAAUUCCAGGUGUAGCGGUGAAAUGCGUAGAGAUCUGGAGGAAUACCGGUGGCGAAGGCGGCCCCCUGGACAAAGACUGACGCUCAGGUGCGAAAGCGUGGGGAGCAAACAGGAUUAGAUACCUGGUAGUCCACGCCGUAAACGAUGUCGACUUGGAGGUUGUGCCCUUGAGGCGUGGCUUCCGGAGCUAACGCGUUAAGUCGACCGCCUGGGGAGUACGGCCGCAAGGUUAAAACUCAAAUGAAUUGACGGGGGCCCGCACAAGCGGUGGAGCAUGUGGUUUAAUUCGAUGCAACGCGAAGAACCUUACCUACUCUUGACAUCCAGAGAACUUAGCAGAGAUGCUUUGGUGCCUUCGGGAACUCUGAGACAGGUGCUGCAUGGCUGUCGUCAGCUCGUGUUGUGAAAUGUUGGGUUAAGUCCCGCAACGAGCGCAACCCUUAUCCUUUGUUGCCAGCGGUCCGGCCGGGAACUCAAAGGAGACUGCCAGUGAUAAACUGGAGGAAGGUGGGGAUGACGUCAAGUCAUCAUGGCCCUUACGAGUAGGGCUACACACGUGCUACAAUGGCGCAUACAAAGAGAAGCGACCUCGCGAGAGCAAGCGGACCUCAUAAAGUGCGUCGUAGUCCGGAUUGGAGUCUGCAACUCGACUCCAUGAAGUCGGAAUCGCUAGUAAUCGUAGAUCAGAAUGCUACGGUGAAUACGUUCCCGGGCCUUGUACAC
This 1314-nucleotide ribosomal RNA is filed under the name Enterobacter sp. JA07. RNAcentral's name for it is "bacterial SSU rRNA". It matches the Rfam family "Bacterial small subunit ribosomal RNA", at positions 78 to 1388 of the family's 1533-position model. The record is from RNAcentral. Lineage: Bacteria; Pseudomonadati; Pseudomonadota; Gammaproteobacteria; Enterobacterales; Enterobacteriaceae.